This 533-nucleotide long non-coding RNA is filed under the name Elaeis guineensis (African oil palm). RNAcentral describes it as "long non-coding RNA (EGUI_LNC024152)". The record is from RNAcentral. Lineage: Eukaryota; Viridiplantae; Streptophyta; Magnoliopsida; Arecales; Arecaceae.
GAGAACCUCGUCCUGACAUGAGCAAAGUCAAAGGCCCGAUUCUUUUAGAUCGGAUGGGAGGAGAGGCCUUACAAUGCCCUAAUGUGCCCCUACAGCCAUGUCAGGAACAGGAGGAGAACCUCGUCCUGACGUGAGCAAAGUCGAAGGUCCGAUUCUUUUAGACCGGACGGGGGGAGAGACCCUUGCAAUGGCCCUUAUGUGCCCCCAUGGUCCCGUUGGGAACAGGAGGAGAACCUUGUCCUGACGGUGACGAAACCCGACCACCUGACAAGAUCGGAUGAAGGAGAAAAGCCCCCCAGCAACACCUUCACACUCCUACGCAACCCCACAAAAAGUGAGGGGAGGGCCCUCACUCUGAAAAGAGGAGAGAAAUUAAAGAGGAAGAGCUACAAGCUAUGUCGGAAACAGAUGAAGGACAAACCACACCAAAGACCUAAGGAACCUCGUCUCAACAAAGACGGGAAGUUCCUACCAAACACCCCCGGCCUCUAAGAAGGCUCUCGACACAGGUCAAGAAGAUAGCGACGUCUCCG